UGAGGAAUAUUGCGCAAUGGGCGAAAGCCUGACGCAGCGACGCCGCGUGGAGGAUGAAGGUUUUCGGAUUGUAAACUCCUGUUAAGUGGGAAGAAACGACAAAAUAUAAUACAUUUUGUAACUGACGGUACCAUUAAAGAAAGCACCGGCUAACUUCGUGCCAGCAGCCGCGGUAAUACGAGGGGUGCAAGCGUUAUUCGGAAUUAUUGGGCGUAAAGGGUGCGUAGGCGGCGUAUUAAGUCAACUGUUAAAACCUCCAGCCUAACUGGAGAUCAGCAGUAGAUACUGGUAUGCUAGAGGAUGGAAGAGAGAAGUGGAAUUCUUGGAGUAGCGGUGGAAUGCGUAGAUCUCAAGAGGAACACCAAUGGCGAAGGCAGCUUCUUGGUCCAUAUCUGACGCUGAUGCACGAAAGCGUGGGGAGCAAACAGGAUUAGAUACCCUGGUAGUCCACGCCGUAAACGAUGAUCACUAGAUGUUAAUUCUGCUUGCAGAAUUAGUGUCGUAGCUAACGCGAUAAGUGAUCCGCCUGGGGGACU
Molecule: ribosomal RNA, 536 nt
Filed under: uncultured bacterium
Lineage: Bacteria
Description: partial 16S ribosomal RNA
Rfam family: Bacterial small subunit ribosomal RNA
Source: RNAcentral